This 497-nucleotide ribosomal RNA is filed under the name uncultured bacterium. Its description in RNAcentral is "partial 16S ribosomal RNA". It matches the Rfam family "Bacterial small subunit ribosomal RNA", at positions 28 to 507 of the family's 1533-position model. The record is from RNAcentral.
GAUGAACGCUGGCGGCGUGCCUAAUACAUGCAAGUCGAGCGAACGGACGCGAAGCUUGCUUCUCUGAUGUUAGCGGCGGACGGGUGAGUAACACGUGUAUAACCUACCUAUCAUACUGGGAUCACUUCGGGAAACCGGAGCUAAUACCGGAUAAUAUUUUGCACCGCAUGGUUCAAAAGUGAAAGACGGUCUUGCUGUCACUUAUAGAUGGAUCCGCGCUGCAUUAGCUAGUUGGUAAGUUCACGGCCUACCAAGGCAACGAUGCAUAGCCGAACUGAGAGAGGGAUCGGCCACACUGGAACUGGGACACGGUCCAGAGUCCUACGGGAGGCAGCAGUAGGGAAUCGGACGCAAUGGGCGAAAGCCUGACGGAGCAAGGGGGCGUGAGUGACGACGGCCUUCGGAGCGUAAAACUCUGUUAUGAGGGAAGAACAGAUGUGUAAGUAACCGUGCACAGCGUGACGGUAACUAGUCAGAAAGCCACGGCUAACUACGUG